Molecule: ribosomal RNA, 253 nt
Filed under: uncultured bacterium
Lineage: Bacteria
Description: partial 16S ribosomal RNA
Rfam family: Bacterial small subunit ribosomal RNA
Source: RNAcentral
UACGUUGGGGGCAAGCGUUAUCCGGAUUUACUGGGUGUAAAGGGAGCGUAGACGGCGAUGCAAGCCAGAUGUGAAAGCCCGGGGCUCAACCCCGGGACUGCAUUUGGAACUGUAUAGCUAGAGUGUCGGAGAGGCAGGCGGAAUUCCUAGUGUAGCGGUGAAAUGCGUAGAUAUUAGGAGGAACACCAGUGGCGAAGGCGGCCUGCUGGACGAUGACUGACGUUGAGGCUCGAAAGCGUGGGGAGCAAACAGG